CCUACGGGAGGCAGCAGUGAGGAAUAUUGGUCAAUGGCCGGAAGCCUGAACCAGCCAAGCCGCGUGAAGGACGAAGGUGCCAAGCAUUGUAAACUUCUUUUGUCAAGGGACAAAAUCAGGCUCGAGAGCCUGACCGAGGGUACUUGAAGAAAAAGCAUCGGCUAACUCCGUGCCAGCAGCCGCGGUAAUACGGAGGAUGCGAGCGUUAUCCGGAUUUAUUGGGUUUAAAGGGUGCGUAGGCGGACUGUUAAGUCAGCGGUAAAAGCCCGGGGCUCAACCCCGGCGAGCCGUUGAAACUGGCUGUCUUGAGAUGUCGAGAGGGAUGCGGAAUGCGCGGUGUAGCGGUGAAAUGCUUAGAUAUUGCGCAGAACUCCGAUUGCGAAGGCAGCAUACCGGCGGCGAACUGACGCUGAGGCACGAAAGCGUGGGUAUCGAACAGGAUUAGAUACCCUAGUAGUC
Molecule: ribosomal RNA, 459 nt
Filed under: uncultured bacterium
Lineage: Bacteria
Description: partial 16S ribosomal RNA
Rfam family: Bacterial small subunit ribosomal RNA
Source: RNAcentral